GCACUCUUCGGAGUGAGCGGCGGACGGGUUAGUAACGCGUGGGAACGUGCCCUUUUCUGCGGAAUAGCCUCUGGAAACGGAGAGUAAUACCGCAUACGCCCUUCGGGGGAAAGAUUUAUCGGAGAAGGAUCGGCCCGCGUUAGAUUAGAUAGUUGGUGGGGUAAUGGCCUACCAAGUCUACGAUCUAUAGCUGGUUUGAGAGGAUGAUCAGCAACACUGGGACUGAGACACGGCCCAGACUUCUACGGAAGGCAGCAGUGGGGAAUCUUGGACAAUGGGCGCAAGCCUGAUCCAGCCAUGCCGCGUGAGUGAUGAAGGCCUUAGGGUCGUAAAGCUCUUUCGCCAGGGAUGAUAAUGACAGUACCUGGUAAAGAAACCCCGGCUAACUCCGUGCCAGCAGCCGCGGUAAUACGGAGGGGGUUAGCGUUGUUCGGAAUUACUGGGCGUAAAGCGCACGUAGGCGGACUAAUCAGUCAGAGGUGAAAUCCCAGGGCUCAACCCUGGAACUGCCUUUGAUACUGUUAGUCUAGAGUUCGAGAGAGGUGAGUGGAAUUCCGAGUGUAGAGGUGAAAUUCGUAGAUAUUCGGAGGAACACCAGUGGCGAAGGCGGCUCACUGG
This 618-nucleotide ribosomal RNA is filed under the name uncultured bacterium. Its description in RNAcentral is "bacterial SSU rRNA". It matches the Rfam family "Bacterial small subunit ribosomal RNA", at positions 68 to 732 of the family's 1533-position model. The record is from RNAcentral.